ACAGCAGCCGCCGCGGUAAUACGAAGGGUGCAAGCGUUAAUCGGAAUUACUGGGCGUAAAGCGUGCGUAGGCGGUUUGUUAGGUCUGUUGUGAAAUCCCCGGGCUCAACCUGGGAAUGGCAAUGGAUACUGGCAAGCUAGAGUGUGUCAGAGGAUGGUGGAAUUCCCGGUGUAGCGGUGAAAUACGUAGAGAUCGGGAGGAACAUCAGUGGCGAAGGCGGCCAUCUGGGACAACACUGACGCUGAGGCACGAAAGCGUGGGGAGCAAACAGGAUUAGAUACCCCAGUAGUCCCUGUCUCUUAUAC
This 305-nucleotide ribosomal RNA is filed under the name uncultured bacterium. Its description in RNAcentral is "partial 16S ribosomal RNA". It matches the Rfam family "Bacterial small subunit ribosomal RNA", at positions 508 to 807 of the family's 1533-position model. The record is from RNAcentral.